GAAGGGAAAGGGUGCAUUCAACAUAAUUUUCAUUCAGAGAAGAGAUUUGAAAAUCGCAUCGCACAGAGAUGAAUUCAAUUACAAGAAGCGGAUCGCUAAGUAUCAUCCUCGUUGCUUUCUCUUUGCACUUCAUUCUUGGUUUUUCCGACGAGUCAGCUGGUUCUAAAGAUGCUACAAAGACAGAACCUCAUGCCGGCAGAAGCACUAGCACUGUAGUUAUCGUUGUAUUAAUUUUGCUUGUGCUCUUUUCUUUAUUCUCCUUUGUACUUUUUAAGCUGUGGCGGAAGAAGAAAAGGGAAGAGCAAUAUGCUCGUCUUUUGAAAUUGUUUGAAGAGGAUGAUGAGUUAGAGCUUGAGCUUGGCCUAAGGGACUGAGUCACUCACCUUUGCAAUUCACCAACAUCUUCAAGGCUUAUGCGAGUUUUUAUUAUUUUGAAAGGGGUUAUGCUAACAAGUGCAAGGACACUUGUUAAAAUUAAAAUAUCGAAAAUAUAUGAUGAAAUGCACACAAUUAAUAUAUUACAGUACUUUUAUUUUUAGAUCCUUAACAAUUGUCCUUGUAGCAUUCGUUAGCAUUUGCCUUUUAAAAAUUUUGUUGCUCGCCCAAGACGGAUACGACGUUGGACUUGUGAUGGAGUUAAGACUUUUGCGGAGACAAGAAUCAAUUGAUUGUUUGUAAUGCUAUUCAUUUAUUUGUCUUUUCAUAGAUAUUUGUUUAUCUAAAUGGUAGGAAAAGAGAAGGCUAAUUUGCACAUUGAUUGGAUGGUGUCAUCAAGAGUAUGAUACACCUGAAAUUUGUUGAUAUGUAUGAUACUGUAGUCUUGACAUGUUAUAGGUAAAUAUAUGAUGUCCAUGAAUGAAUGGCUUGUUAUAUUUCGAGGCA
Glycine soja is the source of this 882-nucleotide long non-coding RNA. RefSeq lists it as uncharacterized. Lineage: Eukaryota; Viridiplantae; Streptophyta; Magnoliopsida; Fabales; Fabaceae. The record is from RefSeq and is a predicted model, not a curated record. The transcript is spliced from 3 exons.